This is a long non-coding RNA of Cydia pomonella (codling moth), 1332 nucleotides long. RefSeq lists it as uncharacterized. Lineage: Eukaryota; Metazoa; Arthropoda; Insecta; Lepidoptera; Tortricidae. The record is from RefSeq and is a predicted model, not a curated record. The transcript has 2 exons.
AGACAAUGAAAAGUAAAUACGAUAAUAAAAGAUGUAAAGCCAAAGCGUAUAAAGAAGGAGAUUUGGUCAUGGUCCAAAAACAGUCCAAAACCCCCGGUGAAAGUCAAAAACUUGUUUCACCGUUCAGCGGUCCAUAUCGUGUGACAGCCGUGUUUGACCACGAUCGCUAUGAGGUUUGUAGUGUCGAAGGUUACUCAAAAAAGAGAUAUAAAAGUGUAUUUCCGAUUGAUAAACUAAAGCCGUGGGUUCGUUUUGUCGAGUCGGAAACAGACGAUAAUUUCGAAGACAGCGAAUAGUGUAACCGGCAUUGUCAUAGUGCACUUAUUAGUAAUGGUUGAUUUCAGUUGGUAACAUUAUCAUCAGAAUGUUAGUUUAAUUUUAUAUAUGUUUUAUUUCCUUCUCUCUCCUUACCAAUAUAUACUAUUAAUAUUUAAUCCACUCCACUCUACCCCUGGCACCACCACCGCUGUUUGGACUGCACGGAACCACCGCUGGAUGGGACCGCAGCAUGUGGUCUAUGUAAGCGGCAACCAGCAGAUUAAUGGUCACCCUGAGGAGGUCAAUGCAGCCGGUCAGAAAACGAGAUGACUUUACCGACACCAAGCGGCUACCGGAAGCUGCUACGUUAUGGGUCGGAUCCUCGAGCCGGACUGAAGGAAGCUGCGCUACAUUGUAGAAGUUGCUGCCUGCAGUGGCUGCGGGCUUAAGAAUGUGUUGUGAAGGCGGCGAAGUGCAUACAAUACGCCAACAUCUGUCCAAUAUCAACCGAAUGAGGACAUUCGUACACGGUGGGAUGGCCGAAAAGAGAAGAGGAAACUGCAGCUUAGCGAUAGUGGAUGUGUUUAUUAUCUUUUAUUUUAUUUUUAUUUGUUUUUUGUUUCCCCGAGUAUGUUGGGGUUUGUUCCUACUAACUCUAAGAAGACUUCCUAUUUUGACAAAUGGCGUCAUUGGUGAACAAGUGAUAAAAGACUGAUUAAAGAACACAAGUUUAACUGCAAUCGUGUGAAAAUUAAUGGAGGCCUUUAUAUCGAUAAUCGGCUAAGUGAUUGAUCUCAAUUUUUUUUUAAUCAUUAUUAGUACAUAACAUUGUUCAAAGAUUUUAAGGCUAAGUGUUAAAGGUUAGAUUAUGUUUAUCUAUGUCCUGUGCCUGGGACAGGCACUAAUUCAGGAUGGUCGACUGUUAAAGAUUUCAUAGUUUUACCUUAUAAAAGAUGUAUUUUUAUAAGGUGGCAACUCAAGAUAUGCCAGCUGUCAGGGCAUUCGAAUAAAAAACGAAACUCUAGUAGUGACGAUCUGUAAUAAAAAUAUCAAUAAAUAAGUGAAGAACCUGUG